CCUACGGGAGGCAGCAGUAAGGAAUAUUGGACAAUGCCCGCAAGGGUGAUCCAGCCAUGCCGCGUGCAGGAAGAAGGCCCUAUGGGUCGUAAACUGCUUUUACACCGGAGAAAACCUCCCUUCGUGAAGGGAGCUGAUAGUAUGGUGAGAAUAAGCAUCGGCUAACUUCGUGCCAGCAGCCGCGGUAAGACGAAGGAUGCAAGCGUUAUCCGGAUUCAUUGGGUUUAAAGGGAGCGUAGGUGGACUGAUAAGUCAGUGGUGAAAUCUUCGAGCUUAACUCGGAAAUUGCCAUUGAUACUGUUAGUCUUGAGUACAGUUGCUGUGGGCGGAAUAUGACAUGUAGUGGUGAAAUACAUAGAGAUGUCAUAGAACACCGAUUGCGAAGGCAGCUCACAAAGCUGUAACUGACACUGAGGCUCGAAAGUGCGGGGAUCAAACAGGAUUAGAUACCCUGGUAGUCCGCACCGUAAACGAUGAUUACUCGCUGCGUAGAGGGACGUAACGUUUUAGUUGGUCGUUAGACGGAACGGACGAAGUAAAGUUAAACGUUACCGUUACCGGUUACGGGGUACGGGUUACCGGGUUCCGGGCCGGAACCGGUUACGGAACCGUACGAAACGGGUUAAGUUAGGUUACGGCGUUGGAGGACGCGCCGGACGGACCGACCGACGGAGGGGAGGUAGG
RNAcentral lists this ribosomal RNA (684 nucleotides) under uncultured bacterium. Its description in RNAcentral is "bacterial SSU rRNA". The stretch from base 1 to 519 matches the Rfam family "Bacterial small subunit ribosomal RNA", at positions 338 to 873 of the family's 1533-position model. The record is from RNAcentral.